This 483-nucleotide ribosomal RNA is filed under the name Triticum aestivum (bread wheat). RNAcentral describes it as "partial small subunit ribosomal RNA". The record is from RNAcentral. Lineage: Eukaryota; Viridiplantae; Streptophyta; Magnoliopsida; Poales; Poaceae.
GAGUACCAGCCCCUCGUCCCCGCCCUCGACGCCGGCGUCAGCCCCGCCUCCCUCGAUGAGAUCUUCUCCAUGCUCAGCAACUUCGACCAGCGCAUGGUGCACUUUCAGAACUCCGGCGGCGGCGGCUUCAAGUCCUCAGCCAACCUAGCUACUCGUGGUCGCGACGGCGGCUCUCGCUACCGUGGUUGUGGCAAGGGCAGGGCUGGUGGUACCAGGUCCGGCAACAAUGGUGGAACCAGCGGUGGUGGCGCCCGUGGCAAUAGGGGUCGCCACGGUGGCGGCUCUGGCCGCACCCGUCCGGACUCCCCACGCUGUCAGGUUUGUGGCAAACCAGGACGCACCACCAGGGACUGCUGGUACCGCUAUGAUGAAGAUGAGGACGACUUUCAAGAUGAUGACAAGAUCACUGCAGCGGCGGGUGGAUCCUACGGCAUCGACACCAACUGGUACCUCGACAGCGGCGCCACCAAUCAUCUCACUUGA